ACGGGGCGCAGCAGGCGCGAAAACUUUACAAUGCGGGAAACCGCGAUAAGGGGAUACCGAGUGCCAGCAUAUUAUGUUGGCUGUCCACAUGUGUAAACGGCAUGUGCUAGCAAGGGCCGGGCAAGACCGGUGCCAGCCGCCGCGGUAACACCGGCGGCCCGAGUGGUAAUCAUUUUUAUUGGGUCUAAAGGGUCCGUAGCCGGUUUGAUCAGUUCUUCGGGAAAUCUGACAGCUCAACUGUUAGGCUUCCGGGGAAUACUGUCAGACUUGGGACCGGGAGAGGUAAGAGGUACUACAGGGGUAGGAGUGAAAUCUUGUAAUCCCUGUGGGACCACCAGUGGCGAAGGCGUCUUACCAGAACGGGUCCGACGGUGAGGGACGAAAGCUGGGGGCACGAACCGGAUUAGAUACCCGGGUAGUCCCAGCCGUAAACGAUGUUCGCUAGGUGUCAGGGACGGUGCGACCGUUUCUGGUGCCGUAGGGAAGCCGUGAAGCGAGCC
Molecule: ribosomal RNA, 500 nt
Filed under: uncultured archaeon FIN637
Lineage: Archaea; Methanobacteriati; Methanobacteriota; Methanomicrobia; Methanomicrobiales
Description: bacterial SSU rRNA
Rfam family: Archaeal small subunit ribosomal RNA
Source: RNAcentral